RNAcentral lists this ribosomal RNA (530 nucleotides) under uncultured bacterium. Its description in RNAcentral is "bacterial SSU rRNA". It matches the Rfam family "Bacterial small subunit ribosomal RNA", at positions 777 to 1315 of the family's 1533-position model. The record is from RNAcentral.
AAUAGAUACCCGGGUAGUCCACGCCGUAAACGAUGGAUACUAGCUGUUGGGGGCGACCUCAGUGGCUAAGCGAAAGUGAUAAGUAUCCCACCUGGGGAGUACGUUCGCAAGAAUGAAACUCAAAGGAAUUGACGGGGGCCCGCACAAGCGGUGGAGCAUGUGGUUUAAUUCGAUGAUACGCGAGGAACCUUACCAAGGCUUAAAUGCAGACUGACCGUUUUGGAAACAGAACUUUCGCAAGACAGUCUACAAGGUGCUGCAUGGUUGUCGUCAGCUCGUGCCGUGAGGUGUCAGGUUAAGUCCUAUAACGAGCGCAACCCCUGUUGUUAGUUGCCAGCGAGUAGUGUCGGGAACUCUAACAAGACUGCCAGUGCAAACUGUGAGGAAGGUGGGGAUGACGUCAAAUCAUCACGGCCCUUACGCCUUGGGCUACACACGUGCUACAAUGGCCGGUACAGAGAGCAGCCACCUCGCGAGAGGGAGCGAAUCUACAAAGCCGGUCACAGUUCGGAUCGGAGUCUGCAACUCGA